RNAcentral lists this ribosomal RNA (253 nucleotides) under uncultured bacterium. RNAcentral describes it as "partial 16S ribosomal RNA". It matches the Rfam family "Bacterial small subunit ribosomal RNA", at positions 524 to 776 of the family's 1533-position model. The record is from RNAcentral.
UACGUAGGGGGCUAGCGUUGUCCGGAAUCAUUGGGCGUAAAGCGCGUGUAGGCGGCCCGGUAAGUCCGCUGUGAAAGUCCAGGGCUCAACCCUGGGAUGCCGGUGGAUACUGUCGGGCUCGAGUCCGGAAGAGGCGAGUGGAAUUCCUGGUGUAGCGGUGAAAUGCGCAGAUAUCAGGAGGAACACCAAUGGCGAAGGCAGCUCGCUAGGACGGUACUGACGCUGAGACGCGAAAGCGUGGGGAGCGAACAGG